AUUGAACGCUAGCGGCAUGCCUUACACAUGCAAGUCGAACGGCAGCACGGGUGCUUGCACCUGGUGGCGAGUGGCGAACGGGUGAGUAAUAUAUCGGAACGUACCUUAUUGUGGGGGAUAACGCGGCGAAAGCUGUGCUAAUACCGCAUAAUCCCUAAGGGGGAAAGCGGGGGACCGUAAGGCCUCGCGCAAUUAGAGCGGCCGAUACCUGAUUAGCUAGUUGGUGAGGUAAAGGCUCACCAAGGCAACGAUCAGUAGCUGGUCUGAGAGGACGAUCAGCCACACUGGGACUGAGACACGGCCCAGACUCCUACGGGAGGCAGCAGUGGGGAAUUUUGGACAAUGGGGACAACCCUGAUCCAGCAAUGCCGCGUGAGUGAAGAAGGCCUUCGGGUUGUAAAGCUCUUUUGUCAGGGAAGAAACAGCAGCUCUAACACAGUAUGCGAAUGACGGUACCUGAAGAAUAAGCACCGGCUAACUACGUGCCAGCCGCCGCGGUAA
RNAcentral lists this ribosomal RNA (501 nucleotides) under uncultured bacterium. RNAcentral describes it as "partial 16S ribosomal RNA". It matches the Rfam family "Bacterial small subunit ribosomal RNA", at positions 30 to 523 of the family's 1533-position model. The record is from RNAcentral.